This 253-nucleotide ribosomal RNA is filed under the name uncultured bacterium. RNAcentral's name for it is "partial 16S ribosomal RNA". It matches the Rfam family "Bacterial small subunit ribosomal RNA", at positions 524 to 776 of the family's 1533-position model. The record is from RNAcentral.
UACGAAGGGGGCUAGCGUUGCUCGGAAUCACUGGGCGUAAAGGGUGCGUAGGCGGGUCUUUAAGUCAGGGGUGAAAUCCUGGAGCUCAACUCCAGAACUGCCUUUGAUACUGAGAAGCUUGAGUCCGGGAGAGGUGAGUGGAACUGCGAGUGUAGAGGUGAAAUUCGUAGAUAUUCGCAAGAACACCAGUGGCGAAGGCGGCUCACUGGCCCGGUACUGACGCUGAGGUGCGAAAGCUAGGGGAGCAAACAGG